AGCAUAUUACUAAGCGGAGGAAAAGAAACCAACGGGGAUUCCCAUAGUAACUGCGAGUGAAAGGGGAAAAGCCCAGCGCCGAAUCCUGCCGCUGGAGACGGUGGCAGGAACUGUGGCGUGAAGAUGGUAUGUACCGGUGUGGCUCGCUCGCGUAAGUUCUCCUGAGUGAGGCUCCAUCCCAUGGAGGGUGCAAGGCCCGUGUCGUGAGCAGCCGUCGCCGGUGUGUGCUAUCAGAGAGUCGCCUUGUUUGCGAGUACAAGGUGAAGUCGGUGGUAAACUCCAUCGAAGGCUAAAUAUGACCACGAGUCCGAUAGCGAACAAGUACCGUGAGGGAAAAUUGAAAAGCACUUUGAAGAGAGAGCGAAACAGUGCGUGAAACCGCUCAGAGGCAAGCAGAUGGGGCCUCGAAGGCAGAGCCGCGAAUUCAGCCGGUGGUCCGUGCGGUGUGUCGGGAUUGGAGAUCGCAAGACUCUGCCUGGCUUACUGGUGCGGCUGCCGGUGCACUUUCGCGGCUUGUACGCCACCGCCGUUAAGGAGCGUCCACCGGGCCUGCGUGUGGAGCCUAGCUGUCUUCGGGCAGUUGGUGUCUCACUGCGGGUCUGUGUGCGAUCGCGCUUUAACCGGUCAUGUCAGCAUGUGUCAGCGUUUGCGCUGGGUCAGCCGGCUCCGGUUGGGCUGUAUGGGGAUGACGAGCUUGCUCGGCUCUCCUGCACCUGAUGGACUCGUGCGGGCUUUCAGCGUGGCACAUUGUGGAUUCGGUGGCGAGUAGACGGCUGCCCAUCUAACCCGUCUUGAAACAC
RNAcentral lists this ribosomal RNA (800 nucleotides) under Hypsibius repentinus. Its description in RNAcentral is "Hypsibius sp. 1 DVT-2021 partial large subunit ribosomal RNA". It matches the Rfam family "Eukaryotic large subunit ribosomal RNA", at positions 37 to 662 of the family's 3401-position model. Lineage: Eukaryota; Metazoa; Tardigrada; Eutardigrada; Parachela; Hypsibiidae. The record is from RNAcentral.